CUGGGAUGUUUUUUGCUAUUGUGGCUUCCUUACAGAAAGUUUGGCCUUGAAUGCCUCAUCACAAGUUAAAACAAAAAAACCAUCCUUCUUUGAUGCUGCAGGUUUGGUUGGAGGUUUCACUCUAGGAAUAUCUCCAAGAAUGUUUGUUGCAUCAUUGGUAACUAGCUGAUAUUUCCUGAACUGGAUUGCUGAACAUCAAUGUAAGUAUUCAAAUGUUGGAGCAAGGCGAACUCUCAAGACUAAACAGCUUCCAGGUCAUUGCGCGUCACAACAUAGCAAUACGGCGGACCGUUUGUGUAAUAAAUGCAGUUCUUUUCAGAAUAUUCGUCUCAAAUGUAAAUAAAAGUAAUAAACAACAGUGUUAAAAAGUUCACUGGAAAAUGAACUUGGUUGGUAUGUGAUCAAAUCUUCUGAGAAGCCCUUUGGGCUUCACAGGAUUUGAUCACGUGACCAACCAAGUUCAUUUCCCAGAGAACUUUUUAACAUUGUUGUUUAUUUCUUAAAUGAUAAUUUUUUUUCCUAGUAACGUGUAGAAAUGAU
Molecule: long non-coding RNA, 540 nt
Organism: Saccostrea echinata
Lineage: Eukaryota; Metazoa; Mollusca; Bivalvia; Ostreida; Ostreidae
Exons: 3
Source: RefSeq, a predicted model, not a curated record